UUGGAGGGCAAGUCUGGUGCCAGCAGCCGCGGUAAUUCCAGCUCCAAUAGCGUAUAUUAAAGUUGUUGCAGUUAAAAAGCUCGUAGUUGAAUUUCGGGAUUAGUACGCUGGUCGUGCCUUCGGUACGUACUGGUGUUACUGAUUUCUACCUUCUGACGAACCAUCAUGUCAUUAAUUUGGUGUGGUGGGGAAUCAGGACUGUUACUUUGAAAAAAUUAGAGUGUUUAAAGCAGGCUCGCGCUUGAAUACAUUAGCAUGGAAUAAUGAAAUAGGACGUUGAUCCUAUUUUGUUGGUUUCUAGGAUUGACGUAAUGAUUAAUAGGGAUAGUUGGGGGCAUUAGUAUUCAAUUGUCAGAGGUGAAAUUCUUGGAUUUAUUGAAGACUAACUACUGCGAAAGCAUUUGCCAAGGAUGUUUUCAUUAAUCAAGAACGAAAGUUAGGGGAUCGAAGACGAUCAGAUACCGUCGUAGUCUUAACCAUAAACUAUGCCGACUAGGGAUCGGAUGAUGUUAAUUUUUUAAUGACUCAUUCGGCGCCUUACGGGAAAC
RNAcentral lists this ribosomal RNA (548 nucleotides) under uncultured Glomeromycotina. Its description in RNAcentral is "SSU rRNA". It matches the Rfam family "Eukaryotic small subunit ribosomal RNA", at positions 548 to 1098 of the family's 1831-position model. Lineage: Eukaryota; Fungi; Glomeromycota. The record is from RNAcentral.